RNAcentral lists this unclassified non-coding RNA (1725 nucleotides) under Hevea brasiliensis (rubber tree). The record is from RNAcentral. Lineage: Eukaryota; Viridiplantae; Streptophyta; Magnoliopsida; Malpighiales; Euphorbiaceae.
AUAUCUAACCAAUGUGAGACUCCAACACUCCUCCCUCAAGAGUUUGGCCUCUUUUUUUUGUAGCUUGGCUCUAAGGGUCUAGUUCUUUUUUACUAGCUCAUGGAUCCACCUAAGUUUGACUCGCUGUGGCAUAGCUCACCAUGCUUUUUCGGGUCCCAGAUUGUGGCAUGAUCUGAUACCAUGUGAAAUUUGCUCUAAUUCGGAGAGUGCUGGAGACUAUUUGCAUGAUUUUGUUAGCUUGGAGUUGCCUCCACAAAAAUAGCUUAAGCCAAUUUGGCUUGUCUCCCCCUUGCUUUAUAUUCUCUUUCAAUUCUUUGUAUCUAACCAACAUGGGACUCGAAGCCUCCAACAGUAAUAUUAGAUAUUUCAUGAUCAACUUGUGAACGGUGAGUGACUUCACUGCUCUUGCAUCAAGGUUUAACCCAUUUAAAUUAAUGUGUAUGAGAUAAUACGAGAGUUACAAACAAAGAAUCCUAAUUAAGAUGAAUUACAAGUUUGGAGACACUUUUUUUGGGCAGACAUAACCGACAACAUUAGAAUAUGUGUUGGCCAAUAAGAAUUUGGAGAAUAAGAUCAGCGUCAGACAUUGGAUGUCCAAUAUAAUGGAGAGAGUAGGCUAAGGACUUGAUCUGCUGAAGACAAUUGGCCAUAGUUUUUGUCCCUUUCAAAGUCUGACUAAGAUUUAAUUUCAACUGAUAUACUUUGCAUUAACAUGACCAUUGAACAGUUUUUCCAUAUUAGAGUAAGUAUGAUGAGCUGUUAAAAAUGCAUUGGGUCAUAAAAAAUGUUUGAGUAGAUCAGGAGAUAUCGUGGCAUGUAACCAAGAAAUUAUGAUGCAAUCAAUUUGCUUUGAAGCUGAAAAACAAGGAUUCAAGGUAGGAAACACCACUAUCAUCAUGAAUAUAUUGAGGACAAUUGAAGAAUAUUGAAAAUGAAGAUCAAGUAAUGGAGGAAUUGAGUGCUUUUGUUUUGGGGUUUGGAGGAGGUGACACUGUAAAAACCUAACGGCUCUGUGAACGAGUGAAUUCACUACUCGUGUUAGGGUUUAACCCUAUUUAUAUUAGUGUAUAUGAGAUAAUACGAGUUAUAAAAAUAGAGUCCUAAUUAAGAUGAAUUACAAGUUUGGAGACACUUUUUUUGGGCAGACAUAACCGACAACAUUAGAAUAUGUGUUGGCCAAUAAGAAUUUGGAGAAUAAGAUCAGCGUCAGACAUUGGAUGUCCAAUAUAAUGGAGAGAGUAGGCUAAGGACUUGAUCUGCUGAAGACAAUUGGCCAUAGUUUUUGUCCCUUUCAAAGUCUGACUAAGAUUUAAUUUCAACUGAUAUACUUUGCAUUAACAUGACCAUUGAACAGUUUUUCCAUAUUAGAGUAAGUAUGAUGAGCUGUUAAAAAUGCAUUGGGUCAUAAAAAAUGUUUGAGUAGAUCAGGAGAUAUCGUGGCAUGUAACCAAGAAAUUAUGAUGCAAUCAAUUUGCUUUGAAGCUGAAAAACAAGGAUUCAAGGUAGGAAACACCACUAUCAUCAUGAAUAUAUUGAGGACAAUUGAAGAAUAUUGAAAAUGAAGAUCAAGUAAUGGAGGAAUUGAGUGCUUUUGUUUUGGGGUUUGGAGGAGGUGACACUGUAAAAACCUAACGGCUCUGUGAACGAGUGAAUUCACUACUCGUGUUAGGGUUUAACCCUAUUUAUAUUAGUGUAUAUGAGAUAAUACGAGUUAUAAAAAUAGAG